RNAcentral lists this ribosomal RNA (253 nucleotides) under uncultured bacterium. RNAcentral describes it as "partial 16S ribosomal RNA". It matches the Rfam family "Bacterial small subunit ribosomal RNA", at positions 524 to 776 of the family's 1533-position model. The record is from RNAcentral.
UACGGAGGGGGUUAGCGUUGUUCGGAAUUACUGGGCGUAAAGCGUACGUAGGCGGAUUAGUAAGUUGGGGGUGAAAUCCCGGGGCUCAACCCCGGAACUGCCUCCAAAACUACUAGUCUUGAGAUCGUGAGAGGUGAGUGGAAUUCCGAGUGUAGAGGUGAAAUUCGUAGAUAUUCGGAGGAACAUCAGUGGCGAAGGCGGCUCACUGGCCCGUAACUGACGCUCAGGCGCGAUAGCGUGGGGAUCAAACAGG